AGAGUUUGAUCCUGGCUCAGAUUGAACGCUGGCGGCAUGCCUUACACAUGCAAGUCGAACGGCAGCACGGGUGCUUGCACCUGGUGGCGAGUGGCGAACGGGUGAGUAAUACAUCGGAACAUGUCCUGUAGUGGGGGAUAGCCCGGCGAAAGCCGGAUUAAUACCGCAUACGAUCUACGGAUGAAAGCGGGGGACCUUCGGGCCUCGCGCUAUAGGGUUGGCCGAUGGCUGAUUAGCUAGUUGGUGGGGUAAAGGCCUACCAAGGCGACGAUCAGUAGCUGGUCUGAGAGGACGACCAGCCACACUGGGACUGAGACACGGCCCAGACUCCUACGGGAGGCAGCAGUGGGGAAUUUUGGACAAUGGGCGAAAGCCUGAUCCAGCAAUGCCGCGUGUGUGAAGAAGGCCUUCGGGUUGUAAAGCACUUUUGUCCGGAAAGAAAUCCUUGGCUCUAAUACAGUCGGGGGAUGACGGUACCGGAAGAUAAGCACCGGCUAACUACGUGCCAGCAGCCGCGGU
This 519-nucleotide ribosomal RNA is filed under the name Burkholderia cepacia. RNAcentral's name for it is "bacterial SSU rRNA". It matches the Rfam family "Bacterial small subunit ribosomal RNA", at positions 8 to 521 of the family's 1533-position model. Lineage: Bacteria; Pseudomonadati; Pseudomonadota; Betaproteobacteria; Burkholderiales; Burkholderiaceae. The record is from RNAcentral.